This 25-nucleotide non-coding RNA is filed under the name Rattus norvegicus (Norway rat). The record is from RNAcentral. Lineage: Eukaryota; Metazoa; Chordata; Mammalia; Rodentia; Muridae.
UGAGAUAAGUACUAAGAAUGUGGUC